UUGAACGCUGGCGGCAUGCCUUACACAUGCAAGUCGAACGGUAACAGGUCUUCGGAUGCUGACGAGUGGCGAACGGGUGAGUAAUACAUCGGAACGUGCCCAGACGUGGGGGAUAACGAGGCGAAAGCUUUGCUAAUACCGCAUACGAUCUAAGGAUGAAAGCAGGGGGCCGCAAGGCCUUGCGCGUUUGGAGCGGCCGAUGGCAGAUUAGGUAGUUGGUGGGAUAAAAGCUUACCAAGCCGACGAUCUGUAGCUGGUCUGAGAGGACGACCAGCCACACUGGGACUGAGACACGGCCCAGACUCCUACGGGAGGCAGCAGUGGGGAAUUUUGGACAAUGGGCGAAAGCCUGAUCCAGCAAUGCCGCGUGCAGGAUGAAGGCCUUCGGGUUGUAAACUGCUUUUGUACGGAACGAAAAGGCUCUGGCUAAUACCUGGGGCACAUGACGGUACCGUAAGAAUAAGCACCGGCUAACUACGUG
RNAcentral lists this ribosomal RNA (481 nucleotides) under uncultured bacterium. RNAcentral's name for it is "partial 16S ribosomal RNA". It matches the Rfam family "Bacterial small subunit ribosomal RNA", at positions 30 to 507 of the family's 1533-position model. The record is from RNAcentral.